Molecule: long non-coding RNA, 246 nt
Filed under: Callithrix jacchus (white-tufted-ear marmoset)
Lineage: Eukaryota; Metazoa; Chordata; Mammalia; Primates; Cebidae
Description: lncRNA (ENSCJAG00000080539.1)
Source: RNAcentral
CAGCUCUGUACAGAGCCCUCCAGCACUGGCUAAUUGUUUAACCUAAGUCCACCGUGAUUGGAUGAGUACCAGCUUGACAACAUGAUCUGGUUUAGUUUCUUCAUCAGAAGCUGAGGCCACAGGGCAUCACCGAGAAUCGCAGCUACGUUACUUUCUUAUGCUCUGUACGUGACCCUCUCUGCUUCUCAACAUAAGGAAACUAAUUUGCACUUGGCAUCUCUAAAGCAGUUCACAUGGCUGAGAUAG